UCCCAUCUUCUUUCUCCUCAAACCUUUGCAGCCCUCACCACCCAAAACCCUAGCCCCCCCCCCAUUUCUCUUCCCCCCCCCCUCCAAGGUGCAGCCCUCCCGCGUGUUCUCCGUCGUGUGGCUGUGAUCUCAAUUGGAGUUUGGAGGGAGGAAGAAGGAAGGAGGAAGGGAAGAACCCAAGGUGAAUUCAUGUUUCACUUUUGUUGUUUUUGUGCUGCAAUCAAUUGGAUUAUGCGUUUAUCUUUGCGAAUCGGUAGAGGUGUUGUCCAGGAAUUUUGUGAGUGGGUGGACAGCAGUAGUUCUAGGGAUUUCUGGAAAUUUUCGUGGGAUAAUUAGUGGGAAUCAGUGGGAUAAUCAAGUAGAGCUUUGUCAUACCUUUCCAACAAGUACUUAUGCGCUCGAUUCGGAGUUAUAAUUUAGGAGAUAUCAUUGUUUGAAUCCGAAUAUGUUGCUGUCCAAAAAAACAGAUUUUUCAGGUGGGUGAACAGCAGUAGUAUUAGCAGUUUCUGGGCAUUUUUCGUGGAUAAUUAGUGAUAACCAGUAUGAUAAUCAUGUAGGGAUUUGUCUUAUCUUUCCAAUGAGUACUUAUGCGCUUGAUUUGGAAUUAUAUUUUAAAAGAUAUCACUGUUUGAAUCCGGGUAUGUCGCUGUCCAAAAGACAAAAAAACAGAUUACAGGGUUUAUCUUGUGGACUGUUUUGGGCUAAUUAGAUGUUGGAAUUUUAUUAUAAAUUGUAUACAAAACUUGUGGGGAAUUUGGUGUAGAUGCCUCUGGAGUUUUUGGUUAUCACUACUGCUGUCAUAAUUUUAAAGUUAUGAAAUUAUUAAGCAGCGCUGCUGCAGUUUGGUGGGUGCGGGGAGAAUUGUUACCCGUGGCGGGGUUUGAGAUUGUGCGUAGGUGCGGCGUCGUUUAUGAGGCUUAUUAUAUGAAAUUGGUGCACUAAGUUGUGUGUCAAAAACAGGUGGUGGACUUCCGGAUCGUACUUAGGGAUUUGCCCAAACUUCCGGUGAAGGCAAGUAAAACAGUGAUGGUUAUUCCGUCUGUCGAAUGAAGAGUCUUAUACUUGAUUAUGUUUGUGCUAGUAUUCAUAUUUCUAAUUGAGUACCAUCGUUGGAAGAUAUUCAUGUUUUAUUGAUUACAUAUGUUGAGUUUGUGGUUUGAUCAUGUUACCCAUGUGGUUUAUUAAGUGGAAUGGGUGGAAGUAUAUGUCUAGCACAUUUUGUUUGGGAAGAACUCAUGUUGUUGACUUGCAUAAUGCAUUCAUCAUCCAUUGCAUUGAAGUUUCGUCGCGAUCUUAUGGUCCGACCGUACUGGUACAAUGAGCAUCAUAUGUUGACUUGCUUACUUGCUGCAAAUUAAUAUUUAAGAAUGAAGUUUUGAACUACGUUGUUGUUUAAGCACGAUUGGUUUACAUUGUCCAAUUGUUGUUUGCUCUGUUUACUUGCUGAGAUGUGUCAUCUCACUCUUGCAUUGUCUGAUGCAGGCACCUGAUUUCUGCUUUGGGAAAGAAAGGAUGUAGUUGCACGGCCACUACACCUUUAAUAAAGGAACCACUGCUUAAUAAUGUUGUUAAUCAGGGAGGGUCAAGUCUAGGGAAUUAUUAUGUUCUAGCCUUUCAUGGUAGUUGAGCUGAUUUUUUUGGGGUGGGCUGAGUUACCCAUUUUUU
RNAcentral lists this long non-coding RNA (1665 nucleotides) under Zea mays. RNAcentral describes it as "long non-coding RNA (ZMAY_LNC005312)". The record is from RNAcentral. Lineage: Eukaryota; Viridiplantae; Streptophyta; Magnoliopsida; Poales; Poaceae.